AGCGAACGCUGGCGGCAGGCUUAACACAUGCAAGUCGAACGGGCACCUUCGGGUGUCAGUGGCAGACGGGUGAGUAACACGUGGGAACGUGCCCUUCGGUUCGGAAUAACUCAGGGAAACUUGAGCUAAUACCGGAUACGCCCUUAUGGGGAAAGGUUGACCGCCGAAGGAUCGGCCCGCGUCUGAUUAGCUUGUUGGUGGGGUAACGGCCUACCAAGGCGACGAUCAGUAGCUGGUCUGAGAGGAUGAUCAGCCACACUGGGACUGAGACACGGCCCAGACUCCUACGGGAGGCAGCAGUGGGGAAUAUUGGACAAUGGGCGCAAGCCUGAUCCAGCCAUGCCGCGUGAGUGAUGAAGGCCUUAGGGUUGUAAAGCUCUUUUGUCCGGGACGAUAAUGACGGUACCGGAAGAAUAAGCCCCGGCUAACUUCGUG
Molecule: ribosomal RNA, 435 nt
Filed under: uncultured organism
Description: bacterial SSU rRNA
Rfam family: Bacterial small subunit ribosomal RNA
Source: RNAcentral